UUUCAAAUCCAACACAUAGAUUAUCCUGAUCAAGAUUUUGCUAAAUUGAAAUACACUGAUGUAUUAACUCCUACUUAUUCAAAAGGAUCAGUCCCAUCUUGACUCAUGCAUCGAUUUGAUAAGUACUUGACUACAUCCAAAAAUUUUUCAUUACUGAAUUAGAAAUUCAGAUGGUCCGACGCCAAAGUAUAGUGAGUUGCUUACAAGUUA
RNAcentral lists this long non-coding RNA (210 nucleotides) under Elaeis guineensis (African oil palm). Its description in RNAcentral is "long non-coding RNA (EGUI_LNC053762)". The record is from RNAcentral. Lineage: Eukaryota; Viridiplantae; Streptophyta; Magnoliopsida; Arecales; Arecaceae.